Molecule: long non-coding RNA, 442 nt
Filed under: Malus domestica (apple)
Lineage: Eukaryota; Viridiplantae; Streptophyta; Magnoliopsida; Rosales; Rosaceae
Description: long non-coding RNA (MDOM_LNC018213)
Source: RNAcentral
UAUCUAGUCUUGUAGGCAUAUGAAUGCACAACAAGGGAUCUCUAACUUUCCAUGGUGGAAGGAGAAUACUCUAAGAUAUGAUUCGUAAGUCUUUGGCCAAAGCAAAUGAAUAUGACAUAGGAAGUUUGUUCCAAUUCAUAUUCAAAGGAAUCAUAUAGAAAAGUAUCACAUUAGAUAGUAGACAUGAAACAAACUAUCACUUAAACAAUGUGAUUAAGAGUAUUGUAUUAGAGAAGGACCGUAUUGCUUUGUAGUUGUAACUGGAUAGGUUCUCCAACCAAUUCUAAUUUGCUUGGGUAACCAUGACAUACUGCUAGGUGUCACUCAUGGUUUGUGGAAGCCCUAAUUGUUGGAAAUGUGCCCUAAAGCCAAUCAUGUGAUGAUACUUUAAGGACAUUUCACAUGUUAAACUAAUCUAGUUUUACAUAUAAAGGGCAUACAU